Molecule: ribosomal RNA, 463 nt
Filed under: Staphylococcus saprophyticus
Lineage: Bacteria; Bacillati; Bacillota; Bacilli; Caryophanales; Staphylococcaceae
Description: bacterial SSU rRNA
Rfam family: Bacterial small subunit ribosomal RNA
Source: RNAcentral
UUUAUGGAGAGUUUGAUCCUGGCUCAGGAUGAACGCUGGCGGCGUGCCUAAUACAUGCAAGUCGAGCGAACAGAUAAGGAGCUUGCUCCUUUGACGUUAGCGGCGGACGGGUGAGUAACACGUGGGUAACCUACCUAUAAGACUGGGAUAACUUCGGGAAACCGGAGCUAAUACCGGAUAACAUUUGGAACCGCAUGGUUCUAAAGUGAAAGAUGGUUUUGCUAUCACUUAUAGAUGGACCCGCGCCGUAUUAGCUAGUUGGUAAGGUAACGGCUUACCAAGGCGACGAUACGUAGCCGACCUGAGAGGGUGAUCGGCCACACUGGAACUGAGACACGGUCCAGACUCCUACGGGAGGCAGCAGUAGGGAAUCUUCCGCAAUGGGCGAAAGCCUGACGGAGCAACGCCGCGUGAGUGAUGAAGGGUUUCGGCUCGUAAAACUCUGUUAUUAGGGAAGAACAAA